AGCAGCCGCGGUAAUUCCAGCUCCAAUAGCGUAUAUUAAAGUUGUUGCAGUUAAAAAGCUCGUAGUUGAAUUUCGGAGUUCUACCGUCGGUCGGGCUACCAAGUCUGUACUGGUGUGUAGAAUUCCUACCUUCUGGGGAACUAUCAUGUUAUUAAUUUAGCGUGGUGGGAAACCAGGACCUUUACCUUGAAAAAAUUAGAGUGUUCAAAGCAGGCUUAUGUCUGAAUACAUUAGCAUGGAAUAAUAGAAUAGGACGGUGGUCCUGUUUUGUUGGUUUCUGAAUCACCGUAAUGAUUAAUAGGGAUAGUUGGGGGCAUUAGUAUUCAAUUGUCAGAGGUGAAAUUCUUGGAUUUAUUGAAGUACUAACUUCUGCGAAAGCAUUUGCCAAGGAUGUUUUCAUUAAUCAAGAACGAAAGUUAGGGGAUCGAAGACGAUCAGAUACCGUCGUAGUCUUAACCAUAAACUAUGCCGACUAGGGAUCGGAUGAUGUUAAUUUUUAAUGACUCAUUCGGCGCCUUAC
RNAcentral lists this ribosomal RNA (520 nucleotides) under uncultured Scutellospora. Its description in RNAcentral is "SSU rRNA". It matches the Rfam family "Eukaryotic small subunit ribosomal RNA", at positions 569 to 1091 of the family's 1831-position model. The record is from RNAcentral. Lineage: Eukaryota; Fungi; Glomeromycota; Glomeromycetes; Diversisporales; Gigasporaceae.